This is a small nuclear RNA of Leptonychotes weddellii (Weddell seal), 105 nucleotides long. The record is from RefSeq and is a predicted model, not a curated record. Lineage: Eukaryota; Metazoa; Chordata; Mammalia; Carnivora; Phocidae.
UGCUUGCUUAGGCAGCAAUAUGGUAAUACUGGAAUGGUACAGAAAAGAUUAGCACAGCUCCUGUGCAAGGAUGACAUGCAAAUUCGUGAAACAUUCCAUUUAAAA